RNAcentral lists this ribosomal RNA (492 nucleotides) under uncultured bacterium. RNAcentral describes it as "partial 16S ribosomal RNA". It matches the Rfam family "Bacterial small subunit ribosomal RNA", at positions 29 to 507 of the family's 1533-position model. The record is from RNAcentral.
AGUGAACGCUGGCGGUAGGCCUAACACAUGCAAGUCGAACGGCAGCACAGUAAGAGCUUGCUCUUACGGGUGGCGAGUGGCGGACGGGUGAGGAAUACAUCGGAAUCUACUUUUUCGUGGGGGAUAACGUAGGGAAACUUACGCUAAUACCGCAUACGACCUACGGGUGAAAGCAGGGGAUCUUCGGACCUUGCGCGAUUGAAUGAGCCGAUGUCGGAUUAGCUAGUUGGCGGGGUAAAGGCCCACCAAGGCGACGAUCCGUAGCUGGUCUGAGAGGAUGAUCAGCCACACUGGAACUGAGACACGGUCCAGACUCCUACGGGAGGCAGCAGUGGGGAAUAUUGGACAAUGGGCGCAAGCCUGAUCCAGACAUACCGCGUGGGUGAAGAAGGCCUUCGGGUUGUAAAGCCCUUUUGUUGGGAAAGAAAAGCAGCAGGUUAAUAUCCCGCUGUUCUGACGGUACCCAAAGAAUAAGCACCGGCUAACUUCGUG